GACGAACGCUGGCGGCACGCCUAACACAUGCAAGUCGAACGGACUUAGGAGAGCUUGCUCAAAUAAGUUAGUGGCGGACGGGUGAGUAACACGUGAGCAACCUGCCUCUAAGAGGGGAAUAGCUUCUAGAAAUGGAUGGUAAUACCUCAUAAAAUAUUUUAAUGGCAUCAUUGAAAUAUCAAAGAUUUAUCGCUUAGAGAUGGGCUCGCGUCUGAUUAGCUAGAUGGUAAGGUAACGGCUUACCAUGGCGACGAUCAGUAGCCGGACUGAGAGGUUGAACGGCCACAUUGGGACUGAGACACGGCCCAGACUCCUACGGGAGGCAGCAGUGGGGAAUAUUGCACAAUGGGCGAAAGCCUGAUGCAGCGAUGCCGCGUGAGGGAAGAAGGUCUUCGGAUUGUAAACCUCUGUUUUCAGGGACGAUAAUGACGGUACCUGAGGAGGAAGCUCCGGCUAACUACGUG
RNAcentral lists this ribosomal RNA (464 nucleotides) under uncultured organism. RNAcentral describes it as "bacterial SSU rRNA". It matches the Rfam family "Bacterial small subunit ribosomal RNA", at positions 28 to 507 of the family's 1533-position model. The record is from RNAcentral.